AACGAACGCUGGCGGCAUGCCUAACACAUGCAAGUCGAACGAAGGCUUCGGCCUUAGUGGCGCACGGGUGCGUAACGCGUGGGAAUCUGCCCUUUGGUUCGGAAUAACAGCUGGAAACGGCUGCUAAUACCGGAUGGUGACGAAAGUCCAAAGAUUUAUCGCCAGAGGAUGAGCCCGCGUUGGAUUAGGUAGUUGGUGGGGUAAAGGCCUACCAAGCCGACGAUCCAUAGCUGGUCUGAGAGGAUGAUCAGCCACACUGGGACUGAGACACGGCCCAGACUCCUACGGGAGGCAGCAGUGGGGAAUAUUGGACAAUGGGCGCAAGCCUGAUCCAGCAAUGCCGCGUGAGUGAUGAAGGCCCUAGGGUUGUAAAGCUCUUUUACCCGGGAAGAUAAUGACUGUACCGGGAGAAUAAGCCCCGGCUAACUCCGUG
RNAcentral lists this ribosomal RNA (433 nucleotides) under uncultured bacterium. RNAcentral's name for it is "partial 16S ribosomal RNA". It matches the Rfam family "Bacterial small subunit ribosomal RNA", at positions 29 to 507 of the family's 1533-position model. The record is from RNAcentral.